Molecule: ribosomal RNA, 363 nt
Filed under: Streptomyces cavourensis
Lineage: Bacteria; Bacillati; Actinomycetota; Actinomycetes; Kitasatosporales; Streptomycetaceae
Description: bacterial SSU rRNA
Rfam family: Bacterial small subunit ribosomal RNA
Source: RNAcentral
AGAUUAAACUGAAGAGUUUGAUCCUGGCUCAGAUUGAACGCUAGCGGGAUGCCUUACACAUGCAAGUCGAACGGCAGCACGGACUUCGGUCUGGUGGCGAGUGGCGAACGGGUGAGUAAUGUAUCGGAACGUGCCCAGUAGCGGGGGAUAACUACGCGAAAGCGUAGCUAAUACCGCAUACGCCCUACGGGGGAAAGCAGGGGAUCGCAAGACCUUGCACUAUUGGAGCGGCCGAUAUCGGAUUAGCUAGUUGGUGGGGUAACGGCUCACCAAGGCGACGAUCCGUAGCUGGUUUGAGAGGACGACCAGCCACACUGGGACUGAGACACGGCCCAGACUCCUACGGGAGGCAGCAGUGGGGAA